Molecule: ribosomal RNA, 448 nt
Filed under: uncultured bacterium
Lineage: Bacteria
Description: bacterial SSU rRNA
Rfam family: Bacterial small subunit ribosomal RNA
Source: RNAcentral
CCAGACUCCUACGGGAGGCAGCAGUGGGGAAUAUUGGGCAAUGGGCGCAAGCCUGACCCAGCGACGCCGCGUGAGGGAAGACGGUCUUCGGAUUGUAAACCUCUUUCAGCAGGGAAGACAAAAUGACGGUACCUGAAGAAGAAGCCCCGGCUAACUACGUGCCAGCAGCCACGGUAAUACGUAGGGGGCAAGCGUUAUCCGGAUUUACUGGGUGUAAAGGGGGCGCAGACGGCGAUGCAAGCCAGGAGUGAAAGCCCGGGGCCCAACCCCGGGACUGCUCUUGAAACUGCCAUGCUGGAGUGCCGGAGAGGUAAGCGGAAUUCCUAGUGUAGCGGUGAAAUGCGUAGAUAUUAGGAGGAACACCAGUGGCGGAGGCGGCUUACUGGACGGUAACUGACGCUGAGGCUCGAAAGCGUGGGGAGCAAACAGGAUUAGAUACCCCGGUAUU